Molecule: ribosomal RNA, 201 nt
Filed under: uncultured bacterium
Lineage: Bacteria
Description: partial 16S ribosomal RNA
Rfam family: Bacterial small subunit ribosomal RNA
Source: RNAcentral
GCAGGCUGAAACCCGCCUGCAUGAAGUUGGAAUUGCUAGUAAUCGCGGAUCAGCAUGCCGCGGUGAAUACGUUCCCGGGCCUUGUACACACCGCCCGUCACACCAUGAGAGUCGGGAACACCCGAAGUCCGUAGUCUAACCGCAAGGAGGGCGCGGCCGAAGGUGGGUUCGAUAAUUGGGGUGAAGUCGUAACAAGGUAAC